CGGGAAGCAAGCGGAUCCCCUUCGGGGGUGACGCUUGUGGAACGAGCGGCGGACGGGUGAGUAACACGUGGGCAACCUGCCUGUAAGACUGGGAUAACCCCGGGAAACCGGGGCUAAUACCGGAUAACACCGGACUCCACAUGGAGUCGGGUUGAAAGAUGGCUUCUGGCUAUCACUUACAGAUGGGCCCGCGGCGCAUUAGCUAGUUGGUGAGGUAACGGCUCACCAAGGCGACGAUGCGUAGCCGACCUGAGAGGGUGAUCGGCCACACUGGGACUGAGACACGGCCCAGACUCCUACGGGAGGCAGCAGUAGGGAAUCUUCCGCAAUGGACGAAAGUCUGACGGAGCAACGCCGCGUGAACGAUGAAGGUCUUCGGAUCGUAAAGUUCUGUUGUCAGGGAAGAACAAGUGCCGUGCGAAUAGAGCGGCACCUUGACGGUACCUGACGAGGAAGCCCCGGCUAACUACGUGCCAGCAGCCGCGGUAAUACGUAGGGGGCAAGCGUUGUCCGGAAUUAUUGGGCGUAAAGCGCGCGCAGGCGGUUCCUUAAGUCUGAUGUGAAAGCCCACGGCUCAACCGUGGAGGGUCAUUGGAAACUGGGGAACUUGAGUGCAGAAGAGGAGAGUGGAAUUCCACGUGUAGCGGUGAAAUGCGUAGAUAUGUGGAGGAACACCAGUGGCGAAGGCGAC
This 691-nucleotide ribosomal RNA is filed under the name Thalassobacillus sp. YIM 94138. RNAcentral describes it as "bacterial SSU rRNA". It matches the Rfam family "Bacterial small subunit ribosomal RNA", at positions 47 to 725 of the family's 1533-position model. The record is from RNAcentral. Lineage: Bacteria; Bacillati; Bacillota; Bacilli; Caryophanales; Bacillaceae.